UACGGGGGGGGAAGCGUUGUUCGGAAUUACUGGGCGUAAAGGGCUCGUAGGUGGCCAACUAAGUCAGACGUGAAAUCCCUCAGCUUAACUGGGGAACUGCGUCUGAUACUGGAUGGCUUGAGUUUGGGAGAGGGAUGCGGAAUUCCAGGUGUAGCGGUGAAAUGCGUAGAUAUCUGGAGGAACACCGGUGGCGAAGGCGGCAUCCUGGACCAACACUGACACUGAGGAGCGAAAGCCAGGGGAGCAAACGGG
RNAcentral lists this ribosomal RNA (252 nucleotides) under uncultured bacterium. RNAcentral's name for it is "partial 16S ribosomal RNA". It matches the Rfam family "Bacterial small subunit ribosomal RNA", at positions 524 to 776 of the family's 1533-position model. The record is from RNAcentral.